GAGUGGUUGAAAAAUGAUGAGUUGAGUAUACAAAAUCUUGAUUUAUAUAAGUGAAAAAUUACAAGAUCCAACUCUGAUUUCAGCCAGAG
This 89-nucleotide small nucleolar RNA is filed under the name Aotus nancymaae (Ma's night monkey). Its description in RNAcentral is "Small nucleolar RNA SNORD19B (ENSANAG00000006132.1)". It matches the Rfam family "Small nucleolar RNA SNORD19B". Lineage: Eukaryota; Metazoa; Chordata; Mammalia; Primates; Aotidae. The record is from Rfam by way of RNAcentral.